AGAGUGAACGCUGGCGGUAGGCCUAACACAUGCAAGUCGAACGGCAGCACAGGAGAGCUUGCUCUCUGGGUGGCGAGUGGCGGACGGGUGAGGAAUACAUCGGAAUCUACCUUUUCGUGGGGGAUAACGUAGGGAAACUUACGCUAAUACCGCAUAAGACCUUCGGGUGAAAGCCGGGGACCUUCGGGCCUGGCGCGGAUAGAUGAGCCGAUGUCGGAUUAGCUUGUUGGCGGGGUAAAAAGCCCACCAAGGCGACGAUCCGUAGCUGGUCUGAGAGGAUGAUCAGCCACACUGGAACUGAGACACGGUCCAGACUCCGUACGGGAGGCAGCAGUGGGGAAUAUGGACAAUGGGCGCAAGCCUGAUCCAGCCAUACCGCGUGGGUGAAGAAGGCCUUGGGUUGUAAAGCCCGUUUUAGUGGGAAAGAAAUCCUGACCGUAUAAGUACUCAGUAGGAUGAACGGUACCCAAAGAAUAAGCAACCGGCUAACUUCGUGCCAGCAGCCGACGGUAAU
This 514-nucleotide ribosomal RNA is filed under the name uncultured soil bacterium. Its description in RNAcentral is "bacterial SSU rRNA". It matches the Rfam family "Bacterial small subunit ribosomal RNA", at positions 26 to 524 of the family's 1533-position model. The record is from RNAcentral.